RNAcentral lists this ribosomal RNA (464 nucleotides) under uncultured bacterium. Its description in RNAcentral is "partial 16S ribosomal RNA". It matches the Rfam family "Bacterial small subunit ribosomal RNA", at positions 29 to 507 of the family's 1533-position model. The record is from RNAcentral.
ACGAACGCUGGCGGCGCGCCUAACACCUGCAAGUCGAACGAGCGAGAGAGAGCUUGCUUUCUUGAGCGAGUGGCGAACGGGUGAGUAACGCGUGAGGAACCUGCCUCAAAGAGGGGGACAACAGUUGGAAACGACUGCUAAUACCGCAUAAGCCCACGGUGCCGCAUGGCACAGAGGGAAAAGGAGCAAUCCGCUUUGAGAUGGCCUCGCGUCCGAUUAGCUAGUUGGUGAGGUAACGGCCCACCAAGGCGACGAUCGGUAGCCGGACUGAGAGGUUGAACGGCCACAUUGGGACUGAGACACGGCCCAGACUCCUACGGGAGGCAGCAGUGGGGAAUAUUGCACAAUGGGGGAAAACCUGAUGCAGCGACGCCGCGUGGAGGAAGAAGGUCUUCGGAUUGUAAACUCCUGUUGUUGGGGAAGAAAUGACGGUACCCAACAAGGAAGUGACGGCUAACUACGUG